Molecule: ribosomal RNA, 369 nt
Filed under: Triticum aestivum (bread wheat)
Lineage: Eukaryota; Viridiplantae; Streptophyta; Magnoliopsida; Poales; Poaceae
Description: partial small subunit ribosomal RNA
Source: RNAcentral
AUGAAAUUUUGUUCUGAGAAAGAGGGAGGGAAUGCGAGACCAAAUGCGAUGAUGCAAGAUUUUCGUAAUUGUUUGGGAAAUUGUGGACUAGCAGAUAUGGGAUGUAUGGGUGACUUAUUUACAUGGAGGAGGGGCGAAAUCAGGGAAAGACUGGGUCGAGCGGUCUGUAAUGUGGAUUGGGCGAAUAAAUUCCCUCGAGUGGCGAUUAUAAACGAAGAGCAUGUACACCCAGACCACCGCCCUAUUAUUUUAGACACGGAGUAUUUUGAUGAUAAUAUUUUUGACCGCUCAAAAACUCAAAGGAAACAAUUUGAAGCUCGAUGGAAGUUGUACGUACAAGUUGGGAAAAAGCGAAGAUGUUGGGCAUAG